AGUUUGAGGUGACUGGCCCAGCAGGAGUGAGAAGAAUUUAUCUUCAGCAUAAACUUCAUUAUUCUACAGUGUUUCUUCAUUUGCCUGAGAGGCUCCAGGUUACGUACAGCUGGGACUGCUGCUACCUGAUUGCAAGAAUUAUAUAAGACCAAGAUAAUGAAGGCUAGAUUUAAAAAACAUAAAGUUUUUGCAGAUUCAUCACCUGAAAAAAUUUUGCAUAUAGAUGUCUUCAUGUGCAUGUAUGUUGAUUUCUGCCUCUCCUAUUCCUCCACGCUAAACAUGUUUAUGCUUGAAGCUGCUUUGUGAAUCCCAAGAAAGCAUUUGAAGAAAAUUAAAAAUCUCUGCCAAAAACUAUAACCAUCACUGAGCUUGGUCAUAAACUUUAAUUGGAAAACUUAU
Molecule: long non-coding RNA, 399 nt
Filed under: Sus scrofa (pig)
Lineage: Eukaryota; Metazoa; Chordata; Mammalia; Artiodactyla; Suidae
Description: lncRNA (ENSSSCG00030031126.1)
Source: RNAcentral